AUGCCCCGCGCCGGGCGGGCGCUCGCGGAGGGAGGUCCCGCUUCAGGGGCUCGGAGCUCUCGGUGCCUGCGCGCAAAGCCCCUCGCCUGGGACCGGCUGGUCCCGAACUUCGGAGAAUGCACCUCUGGGAAGGGGACCGCGCGUGUUUGGAGGUCCAUCCCCUCGCUGCCACCCUCCAGGGCGGCGAGGGCACCCACCUGAGGAGCGGGAAGCCCAGGAACGCUCGGAAAGGGUGUGGCCUCAGGUAGGACGCGGCGGCGAACCCAGAGCCCGGGAGAAGUUUGCCGAGGGUCGCUGGGGCCUUGGCCAGGAGCCGCUCUGCCCGAGGGGCGCCCCGCUGCCCAACUCUUUUUCUCCAUCUGCUUGGCCCCAGCUCCCGCCCGCCCUUCGCCUCCGGGCCCUGGCCUGGCCACAGCCGCGGGGACCUGCCUGCGGCUCCACGGCUAGGUGGCUGCCGCACAGAGACCCGACCUGGAGAACCAGCUGAGCGCCGGCUGUGUGUAAUCCACUAGUUCACUUUCAAAGCAGAUGCACCCUCCGGAGCCGCGGGCGGACUCUCCCGGACCUGAGCCAGGCCGCCUGUGUCCACCCACACAUCCUGGAGCGCCCACGCGGGAGUCCGAAACCCUGGCACUUUGGAUGGUCUGUCCCAUGUGGACAGGGCCCCAGGACUGUGCUGGGGUAGCCCCUUGUGCAAGCAGGAAAGCGGGAUUUAAGAGAUUACAAUUCCCUUGUCAGACCUUGCACAGUCCUGAGUCUUGAGGACCUUCUAGCCUAAGUCCUAGAGCAAAAGACCCGCGCAGACAGAGAGCUUCCAGGAGCACCCUGCCCCUGGAGAGGCUGGGGACUGUUCCGGAGCCCUCUGCCUGCUUGUCCUCAGUGGUCCCUGCCUAAGAUCAGAAUGGCCAUUCCAAGGGACUCACUCUUGGAUACCCUGUACCAUGUUUCUUUUGGGGUACAGGGUUUUUUCUAUAUUGGGGGAAGGGGCAGGGAUCACCCCAGAGAGAGGCUGCUUGCUGGUUGAGUGCUGAGGAGGUUCUGGCUUGGAAACUCAGUACAUCUGGACUCCAAAUGGCUGCCCUCAAGUGGUGGCUGGGUGACUGCCAGUGUCACAGAGUAGGGACCAAGGACAGUGCAGGGACUUCAAAAAUCACUGUGAGGCACCUCAGACUUCAAUGAUUAACUGAGGUCACUAUGGCCACCUAUUUUUGUUCACGGAUUCUUUAGACAUAUCAGUGCUACUCAUGGCUCAAUCCUUUGCAGUACAGGCUCUAUUGGUUACACACAGUUUAAGGCACCCACCAAAUAGAGCUCAGGCAACCCGUGGGAACCGCCAUCCCCAAACAGGUCUGUACCCUGUGUGGCUGCACCACAAGCCCGAUACCCUCAGCUUUCCUAGGGAAAGCAUGGUGCCAGCUGCAGAUGCUGGUCCUGUGUGCUAUGGGAUAGUGGUAUGGGAGGCGGUCAGCUAACCAUAGGUCCUCACUGCCGUCCCCAACAUCCCCAACACAUACUUAUAUUUAGUCUGUGUUCUCCUUUCCUUACUCCGUCUCCUCCUCCUCCUCUUUGUGUCUUUUCCACACGGAUUCUUUCUCUUUCCUCUGACUGGACAAUACGGUAGAUCUGACUCUCUUUGACAAACUCUGACCUGCUGUGGUCACCCAGGAAGCUGACUGCUAGGCCUCAGGUAAAGGGGCCAUGGGAGGGGGACCAGGUGAUACAAGAAUUGCUCCCCCGACAGGUUAGUUACCCAGGGACAUGGGCGCACUGGCCGAAUGCUGGCUACAGAAGCAGAAUGUGCUGCAUGGAGGCGGGUAGGGGGCGGGAGAGAUUGGUUGCUGAGGAUUUGAAAUGAACCAUGAACCAAAGCUAGAAUGAAACGCAUGAUAUUGUCUAACCUAGAAUCAACACCCUAAAUUAUUUUUACUGAUUCAUGAAUGCACAUGCGAAUUAUUUUCUUUUACUACAAAUGUCUUACAUACCAGAACCACAGCUCCAAGCAGUACUUUUGAAUGGAACUACAAUAAAGUAUGAAUGUUAGAAUUUUACCAGAAA
Long non-coding RNA from Cebus imitator (Panamanian white-faced capuchin), 2055 nucleotides. RefSeq annotates it as chromosome unknown C15orf56 homolog. NCBI's taxonomy places the organism in Eukaryota, Metazoa, Chordata, Mammalia, Primates, Cebidae. The record is from RefSeq and is a predicted model, not a curated record. The transcript has 2 exons.